GUAGGUGGCAAGCGUUGUCCGGAAUUAUUGGGCGUAAAGCGCGCGCAGGUGGUCCUUUAAGUCUGAUGUGAAAGCCCCCGGCUCAACCGGGGAGGGUCAUUGGAAACUGGGGAACUUGAGUGCAGGAGAGGAAAGUGGAAUUCCACGUGUAGCGGUGAAAUGCGUAGAUAUGUGGAGGAACACCAGUGGCGAAGGCGACUUUCUGGCCUGUAACUGACACUGAGGCGCGAAAGCGUGGGGAGCAAACAGGGAUUAGAUACCCUGGUAGUCCACGCCGUAAACGAUGAGUGCUAAGUGUUGGGGGGGUUUCCCGCCCCUCAGUGCUGCAGCUAACGCAUUAAGCACUCCGCCUGGGGAGUACGGUCGCAAGACUG
This 374-nucleotide ribosomal RNA is filed under the name uncultured organism. Its description in RNAcentral is "partial 16S ribosomal RNA". It matches the Rfam family "Bacterial small subunit ribosomal RNA", at positions 527 to 896 of the family's 1533-position model. The record is from RNAcentral.